Molecule: non-coding RNA, 148 nt
Filed under: Homo sapiens (human)
Lineage: Eukaryota; Metazoa; Chordata; Mammalia; Primates; Hominidae
Source: Rfam by way of RNAcentral
GCUGGGCGUGGUGGCUCACGCCUGUAAUCCCAGCUACUCAGGAGGCUGAGGCAGGAGAACUACUUGAACCCAGGAGGUGGAGGUUGCAGUGAGCUGAGAUCACGUCACUGCACUUCACCCUGGGCAACAGAGUGAGACUCUGUCUCAA